CAUGAAAAGUAUUUAGCUCGACCUAGU
This 27-nucleotide non-coding RNA is filed under the name Drosophila melanogaster (fruit fly). The record is from RNAcentral. Lineage: Eukaryota; Metazoa; Arthropoda; Insecta; Diptera; Drosophilidae.